GACGAACGCUGGCGGCGUGCCUAAUACAUGCAAGUAGAACGCUGCAGGCGGAGCUUGCUUCUCUGGAUGAGUUACGAACGGGUGAGUAACGCGUAGGUAACCUGCCUGGUAGCGGGGGAUAACUAUUGGAAACGAUAGCUAAUACCGCAUAAUAUUGACUAUUUCAUGAUAGGCAAUUGAUAGGUGCAACUGCACCACUACCAGAUGGCCAUGAGUUGUAUUAGCUAGUUGGUGGGGUACCGGCUCACCAAGGGGACGAUACAUAGCCGACCUGAGAGGGUAAGCGGCCACGCUGGGAUGGGAGGACGGCCAGGAAUCCUACGAGAGGCAGAAGUAGCGAACUUUCGGCAAUGGACGGAAUGCUGACCGAGCAACGCCGCGUGAGUGAAGAAGGUAGUCGUAUCGUAAAGCUCUGUAAGGAGAGAAGAUCGAGUGUGAGAUUGGAAAGCUCUGACUGUGACAGUAUCUGAACAGAAAGGUACGGCUAACUACGUG
This 495-nucleotide ribosomal RNA is filed under the name uncultured bacterium. Its description in RNAcentral is "partial 16S ribosomal RNA". It matches the Rfam family "Bacterial small subunit ribosomal RNA", at positions 28 to 507 of the family's 1533-position model. The record is from RNAcentral.